RNAcentral lists this ribosomal RNA (301 nucleotides) under uncultured bacterium. RNAcentral describes it as "partial 16S ribosomal RNA". It matches the Rfam family "Bacterial small subunit ribosomal RNA", at positions 509 to 808 of the family's 1533-position model. The record is from RNAcentral.
CAGCCGCCGCGGGAAUACGUAGGGUGCAAGCGUUAAUCGGAAUUACUGGGCGUAAAGCGUGCGCAGGCGGUUCGUUAAGACAGAUGUGAAAUCCCCGGGCUUAACCUGGGAACUGCAUUUGUGACUGGCGGGCUAGAGUAUGGCAGAGGGGGGUAGAAUUCCACGUGUAGCAGUGAAAUGCGUAGGGAUGUGGAGGAAUACCGAUGGCGAAGACAGCCCCCUGGGCCAAUACUGACGCUCAUGCACGAAAGCGUGGGGAGCAAACAGGAUUAGAUACCCCUGUAGUCCCGUCUCUUAUACA